GUCGGUUAACUCUACUGGAAAAUAAAAAUAUCUUUGAUAUUUAAGCAUAUUGAAACAUUCUAAAGAACUAAUACUAACAUUAUAUCAUAAGCUAACUAAUACGAGCUAAUACUAAUGAUUAUUAGUUUAUUCACUAACUAAUACAAAUAAGUAAAAUAAAAUCAAACAAUUCCAUCUUCCUUCAUCACAGAUCCAUCACAAAUUAAGUGGUCUAUUUUCCCCUCAGGGUGCUCAAAGAAGUCUGCCACAUCCAAGUG
RNAcentral lists this long non-coding RNA (257 nucleotides) under Nicotiana benthamiana. RNAcentral's name for it is "long non-coding RNA (NBEN_LNC011291)". Lineage: Eukaryota; Viridiplantae; Streptophyta; Magnoliopsida; Solanales; Solanaceae. The record is from RNAcentral.